This 254-nucleotide ribosomal RNA is filed under the name uncultured bacterium. RNAcentral describes it as "partial 16S ribosomal RNA". It matches the Rfam family "Bacterial small subunit ribosomal RNA", at positions 74 to 334 of the family's 1533-position model. The record is from RNAcentral.
CAAACCAAAGCUGGCGACCGGCGCACGGGUGAGUAACACGUAUCCAACCUGCCUCAUACUCGGGGAUAGCCUUUCGAAAGAAAGAUUAAUAUCCGAUAGCAUAUAUUUCCCGCAUGGGUUUUAUAUUAAAGAAAUUCGGUAUGAGAUGGGGAUGCGUUCCAUUAGUUUGUUGGGGGGUAACGGCCCACCAAGACUACGAUGGAUAGGGGUUCUGAGAGGAAGGUCCCCCACAUUGGUACUGAGACACGGACCAA